Molecule: ribosomal RNA, 876 nt
Filed under: uncultured bacterium
Lineage: Bacteria
Description: bacterial SSU rRNA
Rfam family: Bacterial small subunit ribosomal RNA
Source: RNAcentral
UGCAGUCGGACGGGAUUGAGGAGCUUGCUUCUCAUGAGAGUGGCGCACGGGUGCGUAACACGUAUGUAACCUACCUUGUUCAGGGGGAUAGCCUCUCGAAAGAGAGAUUAACACCGCAUAAAAUCAAUUUAUGGCAUCAUAGAAUGAUCAAAUAUUUAUAGGAACAAGAUGGGCAUGCGGAACAUUAGCUAGUUGGUAAGGUAACGGCUUACCAAGGCUACGAUGUUUAGGGGAUCUGAGAGGAUGACCCCCCACACUGGUACUGAGACACGGACCAGACUCCUACGGGAGGCAGCAGUAAGGAAUAUUGGUCAAUGGACGCAAGUCUGAACCAGCCAUGCCGCGUGCAGGAAGACGGCCCUACGGGUUGUAAACUGCUUUUGUACCGGAAUAAACCUUUUCACGUGUGAGAAGCUGAAUGUACGGUAAGAAUAAGGAUCGGCUAACUCCGUGCCAGCAGCCGCGGUAAUACGGAGGAUCCAAGCGUUAUCCGGAUUUAUUGGGUUUAAAGGGUGCGUAGGUGGCCUAUUAAGUCAGGGGUGAAAGACGGUAGCUUAACUAUCGCAGUGCCUUUGAUACUGAUGGGCUUGAAUACACUUGAGGUAGGCGGAAUGUGACAAGUAGCGGUGAAAUGCAUAGAUAUGUCACAGAACACCAAUUGCGAAGGCAGCUUACUAAAGUGUUAUUGACACUGAGGCACGAAAGCGUGGGGAUCAAACAGGAUUAGAUACCCUGGUAGUCCACGCCCUAAACGAUGAAUACUCGAUGUUGGCGAUAUACGGUCAGCGUCUAAGCGAAAGCGUUAAGUAUUCCACCUGGGGAGUACGCCCGCAAGGGUGAAACUCAAAGGAAUUGACGGGGGCCCGCACAAGCGGA